This 477-nucleotide ribosomal RNA is filed under the name uncultured bacterium. RNAcentral describes it as "partial 16S ribosomal RNA". It matches the Rfam family "Bacterial small subunit ribosomal RNA", at positions 30 to 507 of the family's 1533-position model. The record is from RNAcentral.
AUUGAACGCUGGCGGCAUGCCUUACACAUGCAAGUCGAACGGUAACAGGUUAAGCUGACGAGUGGCGAACGGGUGAGUAAUGUAUCGGAACGUGCCCAGUCGUGGGGGAUAACUGCUCGAAAGAGCAGCUAAUACCGCAUACGACCUGAGGGUGAAAGCGGGGGAUCGCAAGACCUCGCGCGAUUGGAGCGGCCGAUAUCAGAUUAGGUAGUUGGGGAGGUAAAGGCUCACCAAGCCGACGAUCUGUAGCUGGUCUGAGAGGACGACCAGCCACACUGAGACUGAGACACGGCCCAGACUCCUACGGGAGGCAGCAAUGGGGAAUUUUGGACAAUGGGCGCAAGCCUGAUCCAGCCAUGCCGCGUGCAUGAAGAAGGCCUUCGGGUUGUAAACCGCUUUUGUCAGGGAAGAAAAGGUUCUGGCUAAUACCUGGGACUCAUGACGGUACCUGAAGAAUAAGCACCGGCUAACUACGUG